UGGUCAGUUGGUAAAACACAAGGCUCUUAACCUUGUGGACGUGGGUUCAAGCCCCAU
This is a non-coding RNA of Triticum aestivum (bread wheat), 57 nucleotides long. NCBI's taxonomy places the organism in Eukaryota, Viridiplantae, Streptophyta, Magnoliopsida, Poales, Poaceae. The record is from Rfam.